RNAcentral lists this ribosomal RNA (253 nucleotides) under uncultured bacterium. RNAcentral's name for it is "partial 16S ribosomal RNA". It matches the Rfam family "Bacterial small subunit ribosomal RNA", at positions 524 to 776 of the family's 1533-position model. The record is from RNAcentral.
UACGGGGGGGGCAAGCGUUGUUCGGAAUUACUGGGCGUAAAGGGCUUGUAGGUGGCCAACUAAGUCAGACGUGAAAUCCCUCGGCUUAACCGGGGAACUGCGUCUGAUACUGGAUGGCUUGAGUGUGGGAGAGGGACGCGGAAUUCCAGGUGUAGCGGUGAAAUGCGUAGAUAUCUGGAGGAACACCGGUGGCGAAGGCGGCGUCCUGGACCAACACUGACACUGAGGAGCGAAAGCCAGGGGAGCGAAUGGG